Cyprinodon variegatus (sheepshead minnow) is the source of this 836-nucleotide long non-coding RNA. RefSeq lists it as uncharacterized. The transcript has 4 exons. The record is from RefSeq and is a predicted model, not a curated record. NCBI's taxonomy places the organism in Eukaryota, Metazoa, Chordata, Actinopteri, Cyprinodontiformes, Cyprinodontidae.
ACACCACCAGUGACCAAGAGGCUCACAGAGAGUGAAGAGAAGUUUUCAUCCUCUCCUCCUCCAGAGUGAUGCAGUGCCUGACUCUUCAGUGGGUCAUCGGCCUGUUGACGGGCUGCAGCAGAGAGUGACGCCGCUGAUGUACAAAGCGCACAACUUUAAGAGACGUUCAGGCAGCCAAACUCAGACCAUAUUGUAGCAGGCUCAUGCACUGGGUUUGACUGCUGGUGGCGUGAUGGAACAUGCCUUGACAUGUUGUGCUGUCUGGAUGAAGCAGACGCAGAGACAGAGAGAGAGAGAGAGAGGCCACAAAGAAAAAGAAGAAGCUGGUGGUCAACUGGAGCUUGUGUGAAGAGACUGCAGCCUGCAUAUUGGAUGGAGGAGCUCUGCCGCUGCCUUGCUCCCUGGUCCUCUACAUCCCAUCACAAAAAGCUGAGAGAAACUACAAACGUCAGCAGCGGCAGACUCCAGGGGUCAGACGGUGCAGCUAAAGCCCGCCAAUUCCAUACUGAGAGGAGGCAGGUGGACAGACGGGUGGAUGGACGGUAGGCCGCGGCUGCUGUGGGUGUUUCUCUGGCAGUGUCUUAGCUGGUUGUUGUGAGGAGUGAGAACGAAGCAAUCAGCAAGUAUACUGCCGCAGAAAUUCUUCGCAAUAAGAAGCCCUGGGAUCAUUCAUCAUUGAGAGGUGGAAAGAUUUUCCACGGCAAAGAAAUUGAAGAGAGAUCGACAGAGCUUGGCCUUUUUUUAUCACCAGCAUUUACAUCUGGAAGAAGCCAUCAAACUUCUCAAUGCUUAAGCUGUACCUCUAUGAUCUUCUGCUGCCAUCUUGUGACUGAAAA